Long non-coding RNA from Leopardus geoffroyi (Geoffroy's cat), 1573 nucleotides. RefSeq lists it as uncharacterized. The record is from RefSeq and is a predicted model, not a curated record. NCBI's taxonomy places the organism in Eukaryota, Metazoa, Chordata, Mammalia, Carnivora, Felidae. The transcript has 3 exons.
CCGCAGCCGGAGCGCCGGGACCCGGCAGACGGGGGUACCCUCGGCGGAUGCGGCCAGCGGGGGUGGGCAGGCGGAGGCUUCCGCUCUCGUUUCUCCACAAAUACUAAUCAAAGGCCAGGGUGCGGAGCCUUGUUUGUGUUUUCAUAAACACGCUGUAGGGAAAACAAACCCGGAAACAACCUUGCUGCCCACGGAUGGGGGACUCAUUUAAAUAAGCUGUGGCCUGACCCGUAGUGACACACGAAGUAGCCGUAAAAUGAGGAAGACACGAACCGACACACAACAAGUUAUGUAUCCAGUCAAGAAACAAAAGCGAAGAGGGGAGCAGAGAGUGUACCGACUUAAAAGUGGGUGAAAAAAAAUACAAGCUUUUGCUUGUUAAAUGCACAGAAUGUCUUUGAAAGCAGCAACAACCCGGUAACAGCAGUUGUGUGUGGGGAGGAAGACAGGGCGGGUAGAGGAUAGAUGUUUUUGUACUGCCUUCAAGUUAGAGCCCUGUAUCACCCAUUCAAAGAAAGGCACACCGUGUAAAUAAAAAUACAGGACUGGGUUCUGAGGACUCUCCCCCUGCACCCUCCUACCUUGGGGGAGGAUGAAGAGAAAAAAGCCUAAGGAAGCCCUAAAGGAAAGAAGCAAAAAUCAAAUCUAGGAGAGGCCCCUUUAAGAAGGGAAACUUGCCUCCUCCAGAAAAAUGAUGUGAGGCUGUGAGGCAAGCUGGGCGCCUGGGCAGAGGGGACAGUCGUCCUGGGUUUUGACUUUUAUUAAUACUCGUGUGUUCUGGGAGAUCUAGAGAGGAAAAGAACAACUUCCUGCAGCUAAUGAGGUUUGAACUGUUAGGGUUCUUACUUCCUCUGUCUAGAUCCCGUGGGGGGAGGGUUUGUGAUACACUGUUAAUUUGGCAUGAAAGUCAAGCCUGGAGUGAAAAUUUGCCCAUCUGCAAAUUGUGAGUAACUGCUUAACCAAGCUGGCACUCUCAGCCCUGGUCCAUAGAAAUAACCUCAGCGAAGGUACCAACAACCGUCCCUAGCAGAUGAAGAAACUGAAGAACAGAGGAGUUAAGUAACUGGCCCACCGUCCCACAUCUCCCUCCAGAAAAAAGAAAAGGGACACCAAGAAGAAUGGGCAGGUCAUGGCUGGAGCAAGAGGAAGGUGUCCAAAAUUUCUAGAGAGGGAGGAAAGAAUGGGAGGCUCUCCGGGAAACCGCAAGGACUUUGGCAAGGAGGGGAGGGUCUCUGUGAACCUGGAUCCUUCCGCCUGGAAAAGGAACGUCCUGGGUGUGCUCGGAGACCGCACCCACUUGGAUUUCGAGGAGCUGUAUUUGGGGCUGUCCAGCCGGAGGUGAACGGAGGUGGUGUGUCGGAGCCCCGGGCCCAGCUGUCAGAUCUGGGCUGGUGCUGCACGUGCUUAGGAAAGAUCAUUCUGCAAGUGCUGGCCGUUCACCAUCAUCGAACAAAACAGCAAACGGAACAAAAUCCGCGCCCCACCCCCCAAAAGGGUGUAAGGAGAGGGAGCUCAAAUGACCCACAACAGCCCUCCCCCUGCCACCUUAAUAAAAGAUAUUUAUGGCAGCUUC